This 306-nucleotide ribosomal RNA is filed under the name uncultured Peredibacter sp. Its description in RNAcentral is "bacterial SSU rRNA". It matches the Rfam family "Bacterial small subunit ribosomal RNA", at positions 1033 to 1340 of the family's 1533-position model. Lineage: Bacteria; Pseudomonadati; Bdellovibrionota; Bacteriovoracia; Bacteriovoracales; Bacteriovoracaceae. The record is from RNAcentral.
GACAGGUGCUGCAUGGCUGUCGUCAGCUCGUGUUGUGAAAUGUCGGGUUAAGUCUCGCAACGAGCGCAACCCCUAUCUUUAGUUGCCAGCAUUAAGUUGGGCACUCUAGAGAGACUACCCGGGUUAACCGGGAGGAAGGUGGGGAUGACGUCAAGUCCUCAUGGCCCUUAUGCCUUGGGCUACACACGUAAUACAAUGGUACACACAAAGGGACGCGACCCAGCGAUGGUGAGCAAAUCUCAAAAAGUGUGCCUCAGUUCGGAUUGGAGUCUGCAACUCGACUCCAUGAAGUUGGAAUCGCUAGUA